RNAcentral lists this ribosomal RNA (492 nucleotides) under uncultured bacterium. RNAcentral describes it as "partial 16S ribosomal RNA". It matches the Rfam family "Bacterial small subunit ribosomal RNA", at positions 29 to 507 of the family's 1533-position model. The record is from RNAcentral.
AUUGAACGCUGGCGGCAUGCUUUACACAUGCAAGUCGAGCGGUAACAGGCCUUCGGGUGCUGACGAGUGGCGAACGGGUGAGUAAUGCAUCGGAACGUACCCAGAGGUGGGGGAUAACGCAGCGAAAGCUGUGCUAAUACCGCAUGUGAUCUGAGGAUGAAAGCGGGGGACCGAGCAGCAAUGUUUGGCCUCGCGCCUUUGGAGCGGCCGAUGUCGGAUUAGCUAGUUGGUGGGGUAAAGGCCUACCAAGGCGACGAUCCGUAGCUGGUCUGAGAGGACGACCAGCCACACUGGGACUGAGACACGGCACAGACUCCUACGGGAGGCAGCAGUGGGGAAUGUUGGACAAUGGGCGCAAGCCUGAUCCAGCAAUGCCGCGUGCGGGAAGAAGGCCUUCGGGUUGUAAACCGCUUUUGGCAGGAACGAAACGGUGUCCGCUAAUACCGGGCGCUAAUGACGGUACCUGCAGAAUAAGCACCGGCUAACUACGUG